GCUCUGAAAUGCACCCCAGGGCCAAAUCGCACAGAACAACCCCUCUGAGCCAGAGAAAAAAGCUGGAAUCCGUUUGGUCUGAUAUUUCACCAACACCAGCCAGGAGCGAGGGGAGAGGGAAAGACAGAGAAAGAGAGAAAGUGAGAGAGAUAGGGAGUGAGAGGGGAGAAAAAGGAGACCAGGGCAGAGGAAAAAGGGAUAGAUGGGAAAACGGCAGACCUGGACUGUAUUUAUUGGGGGGCGUGAGUGCCAUGCUGUAGGCUGUGGGAUGGCUGGAAGAGAGAGUGCAAGGUGUUACUUGAGUUAGGUGUGGUUCGGCUGGUUUACAGAGAGCAUGCAUAGAUAGAAUGGUGGAGGAGGAAAAAAAAGGAGGGAGAGAUGGAAGGAUUGGUCAUGCGCAAGGCCUUCUACUUUGAAGUGGGGAGAGGACGGGGAGGUGAGGAGAAGGAGAAAAGGGGGCUGCAGAUUGUACGAUAGUGUGUUUGUCUUCAAAGAGUCCCGACUUGCUUACAAAUGCACUGGUUAGAGGGUCUCUAAAAAACACACGGGGCGCUGUGUCUGUGGGUGAGGUCAACAGUUCCCCGGGACUAUAAAAGCAGCAGGCACCGACACCUGCAGACCGCAGGCCGUUGGAGGCAGCUUAGAAAUCUCUUACAUCUGGAAGAGCCAUAAUUCAUGGGAUUUGGCCUGACAGCCAUGACAGGCAUUGGGGCGGCCAGCAACAACUGUCUCCUGUGUUAGCGGCAGCAGCAUUGUGUGUGUGUGUGUCUACGUGUGUGUGUGUGUGUGUGAAAGUGAGAAACAAAGAGUGACAAUAUCCACUACAGUAUGUGUACAGUGAGCAUGAAACUUUUAUUUAUGCAGUGAACUUGUGGAGAUUAGACCCUGCUGAAUGAGGUUUGCUCAACUUUUUAUUUGUUGAACUAACUUUGGACAUGUGUUCCGGCCUGUGUGUAGGCUGUGUUUAUGGUAAUACAUUCAUAGCACAGUUGUGAAAAAAGGGAGUGAGUACAUUUGCUCAAUUUUAUACUUCAACUUUUGCUCAGAACUGUGGCAGUUUUUUUUUUCCCAAGUGCGGUGCAGAAACUCAGCCUUUGGCUGUGCUUCAAUUUCCUCUCUGGGACUUUA
This is a long non-coding RNA of Cynoglossus semilaevis (tongue sole), 1128 nucleotides long. RefSeq lists it as uncharacterized. The transcript has 4 exons. Lineage: Eukaryota; Metazoa; Chordata; Actinopteri; Pleuronectiformes; Cynoglossidae. The record is from RefSeq and is a predicted model, not a curated record.